GCCAAACGCAAGGGGUGUGGGACAUGGCUUGGAGUCUUGUAGUGCGAGUAAGCGGAUCUAAGGUGUAUUUAGUCUGAGUCAAGACUAGAACAGUCGAUGUACGUUUGGCUUCAAUUCCCAAGAAGAAAUGAAGAUCACCAAGAUCUUUCAUGGCGAAGCGCGCACCCAGUCGCUGAAUGAAAGAAAAGAGACGAAAUGAUACUGAGGCAGGACAGGAGAGAGGUCAACAGCGGCAAGGAUAGGAGACUGACCCAUAUACGUGCGAGGUUUGGAACCCAACAAGCGAGAAACUUUACUUAGUUUAGGAACUCGUCCAUCCACGGGGCACCUUUCAUAGUGAGGGAACUCCUCUGUUUUUAGCUUGAUGAGCGACUUACUUUAGUUUCCGAAAAACGCAUAAACCCCGGGAUUUUCGUAAAAGAGGGACUUGAGUGACUCGCCCUAAUCAAAAAGCGGGAGAGGGGCGAAGAAACUCGAUCGGUUACUAGAGACGAGCAAGGGCCAGGGACGCACUCAACGAGCAGACGAGGGACGAGUGGUAAGAGACGACAAAUAGUAGUGCCGGUUCAGUGAAGUCAAGUCUUUACGUCUAUAGGGGCUCCCCGACGAUCCCGAACCUUCAAAAAGUGAGGGGUAUGUGUUGUUUCUUGGCACUCUCUUUCUUUGUUAUGCCAACCUAAAAAGAGAUAGGGAUACGGGGCUUGACUUGAAAACAAACAACUGGCGCUGCCCCCCGCGGAUAGGGCACUUUUUGCCCUUAAGUCCAGGAUACGCAAAAAAUUCCUCCAGAACGAUUGAGAGUGGAUUUCUGGUUCGAUAGUGUCGAGAAGGUGGAGGGCCACCGGUGACCGUGCUUUCGUAAAAGCACCAUUGGGUGGUGGUUCCUCUCUUUUCUCUUGAACCCCGAACAAAAAAAAGAUCUCGCCAUCAGCUCGACUAAGAGUUCCGAAUCUAAAAAGUAAACUGAACUUGACUUAAGACGAAGGAACCGAGUGCCAAAAAAAACCGGUUUCUUAAGGCUUCAAACUACUAGUCAUUAAGACUACUAUGAAAGAAAAGCAAGGAAGUCCCUUUCUUGACUUGGCCUGCGUGCAUUAUACCUACACCCUUUUAAAAGAACUUUAUUUCAAUUUCAACAAAGCAAAGAAACGAAAGCAUAACUCUUUGCUUGUUGUCCUCUUACUCUUUUAGCCUGCCUUGUGGGGGUCCCCCGGGUGUCUACGGCGGAUCCGAUCGGUCUCGUGAUGAAGAGAAAUCUUUUCCGAUCUUCCACUAAGAAAUAAGAAAGGUAUCGUCACGACAACUAAAUUUGCCCGGUAAACUACUCCGGGGCUCCCCGUGGUUUAGUAAAAAGGAGGGGAGAUUUUAUCUGGGUCAUUUCAUUCAUUAUGAACUUAAAAGUGUAAGGCCGAUUAGUGAGGUCUUAAAAACUUCAUACAAUGAAUGAUCGGCAAUUCUAUUUGUGCUUUCAGCAAGUAGGCGACGCGAAUCUAUGGUUUUUAUCAAUCGGAUACCAUACCAAUUGUUUGGAUGCGUUUGAAAGCCUCGAGAUGACUUGCAGAAAU
This is a long non-coding RNA of Pyrus x bretschneideri (Chinese white pear), 1565 nucleotides long. RefSeq lists it as uncharacterized. The transcript has 3 exons. The record is from RefSeq and is a predicted model, not a curated record. NCBI's taxonomy places the organism in Eukaryota, Viridiplantae, Streptophyta, Magnoliopsida, Rosales, Rosaceae.